CUGAUCCAGGGAGGUAGUGACAAGAAAUAACAACCUAGUCGCAAGACAGUGGAUUGUAAUGAGUGCAAUUUAAAACACUGCACGAGGAACAAUUGGAGGGCAAGUCUGGUGCCAGCAGCCGCGGUAAUUCCAGCUCCAAUAGCGUAUAUUAAAGUUGUUGCAGUUAAAAAGCUCGUAGUUGAGUUUCUAGUCAGUUAAUUUGGAGGUCUCCUUCACUUUAGCUGGCUAUUCGACACUGAACCAUGUCGGUUAUUAAGUUAACCCCAUGGAGAAUUGUCAUUUUACUUUGAAAAAAUUAGAGUGUUUCAGGCAGGCAAUUGCCUGGAUAUCUUAGCAUGGAAUAAUGGAAUAGGACUUUGGUUCAUUUUAUUGGUUAUUGAAUCAGAGUAAUGAUUAAUAGGGACAGUUGGGGGCAUUAGUAUUUAAUUGUCAGAGGUGAAAUUCUUGGAUUUAUUAAAGACUAACUUAUGCGAAAGCAUUUGCCAAGGAUGUUUUCAUUAAUCAAGAACGAAAGUUAGGGGAUCAAAGACGAUCAGAUACCGUCCUAGUCUUGACUAUAAACUAUACCGACUCAGGAUUGGCCAUGUUUAAACUUGGUCAGCACUGUAUGAGAAAUUAAAGUCUUUGGGUUCUGGGGGGAGUAUGGUCGCAAGGCUGAAACUUAAAGGAAUUGACGGAAGGGCACCACCAGGAGUGGAGCCUG
Molecule: ribosomal RNA, 703 nt
Filed under: uncultured marine eukaryote
Lineage: Eukaryota
Description: SSU rRNA
Rfam family: Eukaryotic small subunit ribosomal RNA
Source: RNAcentral